GUUCCUGUGAGCUUCUACACCAGCUCUGCUGUAUCACAACCUCUUCACAGAGAUGGCCUGAGACCUCUGAGGUCCAUAGGCUCCAUCAGAACCAGGUUAGAAAAACUUGGUGAGACUCCUUCAUCGGUGCCGUUAAAAAACCUGCCUAAGCCCAUGAAGCAGUUCUCCAUGUGCAAAGAAGGAAUGCUUUAAUCCGAAGUGAUCACUUUGAUACCGAAAGAGACACAUUUGGAGGCUACUUGGCGACGGGGAAUUAAAGACAAAGAAGCUGAAUAAAUAGCAAGC
This is a long non-coding RNA of Alexandromys fortis (reed vole), 285 nucleotides long. RefSeq lists it as uncharacterized. Lineage: Eukaryota; Metazoa; Chordata; Mammalia; Rodentia; Cricetidae. The transcript is spliced from 3 exons. The record is from RefSeq and is a predicted model, not a curated record.